RNAcentral lists this ribosomal RNA (253 nucleotides) under uncultured bacterium. Its description in RNAcentral is "partial 16S ribosomal RNA". It matches the Rfam family "Bacterial small subunit ribosomal RNA", at positions 524 to 776 of the family's 1533-position model. The record is from RNAcentral.
UACGGAGGAUUCAAGCGUUAUCCGGAUUUAUUGGGUUUAAAGGGUGCGUAGGCGGUCGGAUAAGUUAGAGGUGAAAUCCCGGGGCUCAACUUCGGAAUUGCCUCUGAUACUGUUCGGCUAGAGAGUAGUUGCGGUAGGCGAAAUGUAUGGUGUAGCGGUGAAAUGCUUAGAGAUCAUACAGAACACCGAUUGCGAAGGCAGCUUACCAAGCUACUUCUGACGUUGAGGCACGAAAGCGUGGGGAGCAAACAGG